GGAGGAGAUGCGAUAUUUCUUGGUUCUCAUCACGGCUGCAUGGCGCUGGAUGUUGCCGUGGAUGACGUGGGAGGCGUUGGGCGUCUGGUCCAGGUAGGACACCAGGGCGGGGGGGUUCACAAACUCGUCGUCGUCCCCUAGAGGAG
Gopherus flavomarginatus (Mexican gopher tortoise) is the source of this 146-nucleotide long non-coding RNA. RefSeq lists it as uncharacterized. The record is from RefSeq and is a predicted model, not a curated record. The transcript is spliced from 2 exons. NCBI's taxonomy places the organism in Eukaryota, Metazoa, Chordata, Testudines, Testudinidae.